This is a long non-coding RNA of Triticum aestivum (bread wheat), 481 nucleotides long. RefSeq lists it as uncharacterized. The transcript is spliced from 2 exons. NCBI's taxonomy places the organism in Eukaryota, Viridiplantae, Streptophyta, Magnoliopsida, Poales, Poaceae. The record is from RefSeq and is a predicted model, not a curated record.
GGAUGAGCCGUCAUAUCAUUCUAGAAUGACAGAUCUGUCUAGAAGAAGAUCAAAACUCGAGAAGAUAUAAACCUGGAGAAGAACCUGCUUCAUGAAUUUGCAAGGAUCAGCACGUAAUGGCAGAACCAAUAACAAGGAACCAUCAAAUAGAGGAAGAAGAUGAACAAGAAGAUGAAGACGAAGCAAAUGAGUAUAAUUCUGAAUGCAACAGUGAAGAUAAAAGUCAUCCAAACCAAGAUUACCUGGAUUGCAGUAGUGGUGAGAAUGAAAGUGAUGCAGAGGAAGAUUGCCUGGACCAAAAUACAGUAACUUGUGAUCAGUUGUGUGCAGAUCAUGAUUAUUCAGAGUUGCAACAAAUAGAGCAGAGUUGGCACAACUCUGUUUCAGAUGUUGUCCUAGAAAUGCUGAUAAGACAUACAAGAUGAGAUAAGACAAAAAUAUGAGACUUGAUUGUGGUGCUGACUUGCCACUGUCAGACGAA